UGUAGAGUCCAACUAAACGGUAAAGUUUUCCAGAACUCAUAAUUCUGGAUUAUGCAGGUUCAACUCCGGCCUCUACCU
Molecule: transfer RNA, 78 nt
Filed under: Keratoisis sp. 7 LFD-2014
Lineage: Eukaryota; Metazoa; Cnidaria; Anthozoa; Scleralcyonacea; Keratoisididae
Description: tRNA-Met
Source: RNAcentral